UAAUAGUUAUGGUCUUGAAAUUUAAAGAACUUGGCGGUAAAUUAAUUUAACCAGAGGAAUUUGUUAUGUAAUAGAUAUUACCCUGUUUAUCUUACCUUAAUUAAAGUUUGUAUACCGCCGUUUAGGAUAUUUUUAGCGAGAUAAUUUUCUUUAUAUAUAAUAUAUUUAAAAUCAGGUAAAAGUGCAGUUUAUAUUAAGGAUUUAAAUGAAUUACAUUUUUUUGAAAAAAGUACGAAUAAAUUAUUGUAAUAUUUUUGGAAGGAGGGUUGGAAGUAAAUUUAUAUUAGUAUGUAUUUUAGAAUGUUUAACACUAAUUUAUGU
Molecule: ribosomal RNA, 321 nt
Filed under: Achelia assimilis
Lineage: Eukaryota; Metazoa; Arthropoda; Pycnogonida; Pantopoda; Ammotheidae
Description: partial 12S ribosomal RNA
Source: RNAcentral